This 6670-nucleotide long non-coding RNA is filed under the name Cucumis sativus (cucumber). Its description in RNAcentral is "long non-coding RNA (CSAT_LNC002988)". The record is from RNAcentral. Lineage: Eukaryota; Viridiplantae; Streptophyta; Magnoliopsida; Cucurbitales; Cucurbitaceae.
CCCUUUCCCUUCUCUCCGUCCGCAGCCCAGUAACCGCCGACCUUCUCCUCUUCUUCUUCCGUUCGCAGCAGCCGUCGGCCGCCACGUGACCGCUGCCCAGUCCAGAUCUGCGUCGUAGCCCAGCAACCGCCACCCCUAUUCCCUUCUUCCGCCGUGCGCCGCGACUUCCAUUUUCUUCCCGCUGCAGCCAGCCGCCGAUCCUCCCUUCCGUUUUCCUCCCGCCGUAGCCCAGCCGCAGCCAGCCGCCGCCGCCGAUCCUUCUCUUCCGUUGUCUGCACUGCCGCGCGACUUUCCGGCCGUCUGUAUACGGUCUCUCCGUCGCACGUCGUCUCUUCGCAAAGCUGCUGCUCGACUUCUUCCGCGAAUAACACCUUUGACGUCCGCGCAAUCAGGUUUUCAUUCGCUACCGUGAACCGAACUAAAGACCCCAGAUCCAACUUUCUGCGUGUCGAGUUCCUUCUUCGUCCUGCCGCAGGUAGCAAACCCACGUCAUUCGAUUGGGUUAUUCGUUGUCGUUCCUACUUUGCCACGAGUCAUUAAAUUCUGAUUGGUAAGAUUGAGGUUAUGAAAUUCGUAACUGUUUCCAAAAUAAACUCAAGUAAUAUUGCUGGACUAAUUGGUUGGAGAAAUCGUUUACUGUUCGGUUAUAGGUUGAAGGUAACGCUCGAAUUCCUUGGGUUCGCAGCAAACAAUCAUUCUAGUUGGAACUCGUUUCGCGAAGAUUUGGGUAAGUUGUAAAAAUUCACAUUGGAUUGAAUUUAAAUGAUUGAUGCGUUAAAGAGAAUUAUUGAGAAAUUUUCUUAAUGUUUAGGUUCGUUCUUCGUAGACUUCAACGUGGUUAAGGAGCUUAAACUAACUUGAAAGUAAGGGACUUUCUACUGGACUCACCUAAAGUUUUUGAGUUGUGUUGGACUGUAUGGAUGAUGAUUAAGAUGUACAUGUUUGGUUGCAGACUAAAUGUUUAGUGUAUGUUGUAUUUGACUGGAAACAUAUAUAUAUACAUUGAUGUGUGAAUUGAUGUGGAUUGCCGAAAGUAUACAUGUGAAUGACUGAAAUUAUGCUAAUGUGUACAUGAUUGAUAUUAAUAGAUUGUGCCUGUAUAAAGAUUUGGAUGUGAACUAGUGAAUUUGAUUCGGUUGGAUGUGGAUUAUACUGAACUGUGGUUUGUGCUGCGUGAACUGAGGGGUGUAUUGACUGUAUAGUUUGAUUGACUGACGUAUUAGUAUAUUAUUGACAGACAUAUGACUAAAGUGAGAUAAGUUGACUGUUAGGACGUCGAGAGAAAGAACUUUAUGUUUUGAAGUAACUGAAAGAUGGAUUGAAUGGAAUGAGGGGAUAAAUUGUUAGGUUGUAUUGGGAUGUUUACCUUGUAGGUGUCCCACGGGACCACCAAUUUAUUUUGCACCUUCGGGAGCAUUUGACUGAUAUGUGUUUCUGCAGAACACUUGACUAAUAUGUACGUCCCUCGGGGCGUUAGACUGAUAUGUACGUCCCUCGGGGCGUUAGACUGAGAUGUGUAUCCUACGGGAUCACAAGACUGCGACUGUACAGGGUGUCCCAAUAGAACUUUAACAAUUUAUUUUCCCCUGACGAGACCAGUAGAGGGUCUCUUACUGAGUAUUGUUAUACUCACCCUUCUUAUGUUUAAUUUUCAGGCAAAGGAAAUAAAGGUGGCAAACCGGCGAGGGGCAGGAAGGAAGCGUGAUUGCCAUAGGGAAUGUGUUAUUUUGCUUCCGCUUAUGAUUUCUUUUAAGGUUUAAGAUGUACUAAAACUUAGUUUACAAACUUUUAUUUGUAAAUAGUGUUAUUGUUAAGUUUUCUUGAAUAUUUGAAAAUCAGGCCUGACAUGUUUUGUUUUUAAAUUGACAUAUGUUUCAAUUUGUAUCAAUCAAAGUUUAUUUGUUAAAAAUUAACGACCUCGACUUACCCAGAAAAGUUGGGUCGUUACAGUUGGUAUCAGAGCCUAAGUUUUUGGUUCUGUAGACUGACUUACGAUGUAAGUCUAUGUUUUUGUGUCCCUAUGGCUAACGCGACCCUUCGUCUCUCGUCAGGUAUGCUUUAUGCUUAUAUGUAUGGUUUAUGUAUAUGACCUUGCCUAAGUUAAACUAGAAUUAAAUGAAUGUUAUGAUUUAAUGGUGAAAUUUAGGAAAAAUGUUGCCAUGUAGACGUGUUCAAAGGGGUGGUCGAGUAGUAGAAAAGUAAGACGUUGUUAGCGAAAUUGUCUGUUUUGUGAUUGGAAAUCUAAGAAAAAUAAGUUAUGUAGGUGGUUUUAAAGAGGACUAAAUACACGGUCAAGUUUAUACGAAACACAUUAAAUGGUUUUAGAAUGGAGGUAUUGGAAAAGAAACAAGGAAGAUGAGCAUGGUUGUCUUGAUGUGACUUUAAGAAACAAUUUUGAGUUUCUCGUGAAUGAAAAGUUACUAGUUUGGAGUUUGAAAAUUGGAAUGUAGUUUAACCAUGUAAACAUAAAAUGUAGCGAAAAUGUAGUUUCUAAUCCUUCUCCAGAGGCUAGUUUCAAGUACAAAGAGGUUGGAACUAUCGUUUCGCUAAAAGUUAUCCCAACUAUGAAGGUUAGUAAGUUGCUUGACCAGGGUACCUGUUGUAUUUGACUAGUGUGGUAGACACCAGAGAAGUCGAUGUUUCUUUGUUAUUUGAAUCAGUGGUGAAAAAGUAUUAUGAUAUUUUUCUAGAAGAGUUUCUAAGAUUACCGUGCUAAACAGAAAUUGGUCUUGUUAUUGAGAUAGAGUUAGACUCGUUCCUAUAUCUAAAGCUUCAUACAAAAUGGCCCCAACAGAGUUGAAAGAUUUGAAGGUGCAAUUGAAAGAAAUGUUUGACAAAGACUACAUUCGACGAAGUAUGUUAUCUUGGGGUGCACCAAUUUUUGUUUAUUAAGAAGAAAGAUGGGUCGAUGCACUUAUGUUUUGAUUGUAGAAAGUUGAAUAAGGUGUCGGUUAAGAAUAAAUAUCUUUUACCAAUGAAUGAGGAUUUGUUUGAUCAACUGCAAUAAGUCCGUGUUCUUUAAGAUUGAAUUACAUUCAGGUUAUGGCUUGUUGAGGAUUAGAGAACAGUGACAUUCCUAAGGCAGAUUUUCGUUCGAGAUAUGGACAUCAUGAGUUCAUUAUGAUGUCUUUUGAGUUGGCAAAUGCUCAAACAAUGUUUACGACUUGAUGAACAAAGUGUUUAACGAUCUCUUAGACACUUUCGUGAUUGUAUUUAUUGACGAUAUCUUAAUUUAUUCCAAAAUAGAGACAGCGCAUGAGGAGCAUUUAACAUGGUUUUAGAGGCUUUUCGAGUCAACAAAUUGUAUGCAAAGUUUUCAAAAUGUGAGUUUUGGAUGAAGCCAAGUAUCUUUCCAAGCCAUGUGGUAUCUAGAGGUGACAUUUAUGUGGAUCUCACAAAAGAUUGAAGUUGUUACUAGUUGGCCUCGACUUUUCAUAGUCAGUGAGGUUCAUAGUCUUUUGGGUUUAGCAGGUUAUUACUAACGGUUUGUAUAAGAAUUUUCUCGUAUAGCUACUCCUUUGACUCAGUUAACUAAGAAAAGGGACUCCGUUUUGUUUGGGACAAAGCCUAUGAGGAUAGUGUUCAGGAUCUUAAGCAGAAGCUUGUACAACUCCCGUGCUUACCGUACAUGAUGGUUCAGAAUGUUCCGUAAUUUAUAGUGAUGCUUUUAGGAAAGUUUAAAAGGUAUUCUUAUUCAACAAGUUAAAGUAGUUGCUUGUACUCCUCGUGAGGAAAAUUGUCCAACUUAUGAUAUGGAAUUGACAGUUGUGGUUUUUACAUUAAUGAUUUGAAGGCACUAUAUGUAUGAUGAAAAGAUAUAGAUAUUUUCUAACCAAAAGAGUAUAAAAUACUUCUUCACUCAAAAGAAGUUGAGUAUGAGAUAGCAAAGAUGGUUUCAGUUAGUAAAUGACUAUGAUUGUGAGAUUUUGUACCAUCUAGGUAAGGCGAAUGUGGAAGUUGGUGCUCUUCGUAGAAAAGUAUCACAUUUUGACAGCACUUAUUACCAGACAGGUUUCAUUAGACAAAAACCACGAGAGAGCUGAGAUUGUAGUUUUAGUGGGGGAAGUCACCUCACAGUUAGCUCAGCUGUCAGUACAUCCGAUCUUGAGACAAAGAAUUCUUGUGGUUCAAUUCAUUGAUCCUUAUUUGAUUGAGAAGCAUCGCCUAGUAGAAGUAGGGCAAGUUAAGGAGUUUUCCAUAUCCUUUGAUGAUGAACUUAUGUUUGAGAGAGAAUUAUGUGUGCCAACAGAAAAAGCAAUUAAGACAAGGUUAUUGGUUGAGACUCAUAGUUUCCCAUUUCUCAUGCAUCCAAGUAGCACAAAAAUGUAUCAGGAUCUAAAACGAUUUUAUUGGUGGCGGAAUAUGAAAAGAGAAGUAGCGGAAUUUGUUAGUAAGUGUCUAGUAUGUCAGCAAGUUAAGGCACCUAGACAGAAACCAGCAGGUUUGUUACAACCCUUAAGUGUGCCAGAGUGGAAGUGGGAGAAUGUGUCGAUGGAUUUUAUUUCAGGGCUGCCUAAGACCCUGAAGGGUUUCACAGUGAUUCUGGUUGUCAUAGACAGGCUGACGAAAUCGGCACAUUUUGUACCAGGGAAAUCCACUUAUACUGCUAGUAAGUGGGCAGAGUUGUAUUUAACUGAGAUUGUGAGACUGCAUGGAGUGCCUGUAUCGAUUGUUUCUGAUAGGGAUGCACGGUUUACUUCCAAGUUUUGGAAGGGACUUCAGACUGCUAUGGGUACGAGAUUGGAUUUCAGUACAGCCUUUCAUCCACAGACUGAUGGUCAAACUGAACGUUUGAACCAAGUUUUAGAGGAUAUGCUACGAGCUUGUGUUCUAGAGUUUUCAGGUAGUUGGGACUCUCAUCUACAUUUGAUGGAGUUUGCUUAUAACAACAGUUUCCAGGCUACCAUCGGUAUGACACCAUUUGACGCUUUGUAUGGCAAAUGUUGUAGAACCCCUGUUUGUUGGAGUGAGGUUGGUGAACAUAGGUUGAUGGGACCUGAAUUAGUUCGGUCUACUAAUGAGGCUAUUCAAAAGAUUAGAACGCGUAUGCAAACAGCGCAGAGUAGACAGAAGAGUUAUGCAGAUGUACGGCGAAAAGACCUUAAGUUCGAUGUGGGAGAAAAAGUAUUCUUGAAGGUAGCACCUAUGAAGGGUGUUAUGCGUUUUGAGAAGAAAGGGAAGUUAAGUCCUCGUUUUGUUGGACCAUUUGAGAUCUUAGAGAGGGUUGGUGUUGUGGCGUAUCGCUUGGCAUUACCACCAUCUCUCUCUGCAGUUCAUAAUGUUUUCCAUGUUUCGAUGUUGAGAAAGUAUGUGGCCGAUACAUCUCAUGUAGUAGACUAUGAACCCUUGGAGAUUGAUGAGCAUUUGAGCUAUGUAGAACAACCUGUGGAAAUUCUGGCUAGAGAGGUAAAGAUGCUUCGUAAUAGAAGCAUUCCAUUAGUAAAAGUUUUGUGGUGGAACCAUCGAAUGGAAGAGGCGACAUGGGAGCGAGAGGAAGAGAUGAGGACUCGUUAUCCAGAGUUAUUUCAGGAUUAAAACUUUCGAGGACGAAAGUUUCUUAAGGAGGGAAGAAUGUAAUGCCCCAAAGGUAUAUAUAUAUAUAUAUAUAUUUGUUUUUAUUUAUAUAUAUAUAUAUAUAUAUAUAUAUAUAUAUAUAUAUAUAUAUAUUUAUUUAUAUUUAAUUUAAAUAAAAAGAAAAGAAAAAGAAAUAUGUAUAUUUUCUUUUCUUUUUCCUUUUUCUUUUCUUUUCUCUUUUCUCCUUCCUCCCCGUGCGCCCUUUCCCUUCUCUCCGUCCGCAGCCAGUAACCGCCGACCUUCUCCUCUUCUUCUUCCGUUCGCAGCAGCCGUCGGCCGCCACGUGACCGCUGCCCAGUCCAGAUCUGCGUCGUAGCCCAGCAACCGCCACCCCUAUUCCCUUCUUCCGCCGUGCGCCGCGACUUCCAUUUUCUUCCCGCCGCAGCCAGCCGCCGAUCCUUUCCCUUCCGUUUUCCUCCCGCCGUAGCCCAGCCGCAGCCAGCCGCCGCCGCCGAUCCUUCUCUUCCGUUGUCUGCACUGUCGCGCGACUCUCCGGCCGUCUGUAUACGGUCUCUCCGUCGCACGUCGUCUCUUCGCAAAGCUGCUGCUCGACUUCUUCCGCGAAUAACACCUUUGACGUCCGCGCAAUCAGGUUUUCAUUCGCUACCGUGAAGCUGCCGUGAACCGAACUAAAGACCCCAGAUCCAACUUUCUGCGUGUCGAGUUCCUUCUUCGUCCUGCCGCAGGUAGCAAACCCACGUCAUUCGAUUGGGUUAUUCGUUGUCGUUCCUACUUUGCCACGAGUCAUUAAAUUCUGAUUGGUAAGAUUGAGGUUAUGAAAUUCGUAACUGUUUCCAAAAUAAACUCAAGUAAUAUUGCUGGACUAAUUGGUUGGAGAAAUCGUUUACUGUUCGGUUAUAGGUUGAAGGUAACGCUCGAAUUCCUUGGGUUCGCAGCAAACAAUCAUUCUAGUUUGAACUCGUUUCGCGAAGAUUUGGGUAAGUUGUAAAAAUUCACAUUGGAUUGAAUUUAAAUGAUUGAUGCGUUAAAGAGAAUUAUUGAGAAAUUUUCUUAAUGUUUAGGUUCGUUCUUCGUAGACUUCAACGUGGUUAAGGAGCUUAACUAACUUGAAAGUAAGGGACUUUCUACUGGACUC